This 508-nucleotide ribosomal RNA is filed under the name uncultured bacterium. Its description in RNAcentral is "partial 16S ribosomal RNA". It matches the Rfam family "Bacterial small subunit ribosomal RNA", at positions 28 to 507 of the family's 1533-position model. The record is from RNAcentral.
GACGAACGCUGGCGGCGUGCCUAAUACAUGCAAGUCGAACGCUUCUUUCCUCCCGAGUGCUUGCACUCAAUUGGAAAGAGGAGUGGCGGACGGGUGAGUAACACUUGGGUAACCUACCCAUCAGAGGGGGAUAACACUUGGAAACAGGUGCUAAUACCGCAUAACAGUUUAUGCCGCAUGGCAUAAGAGUGAAAGGCGCUUUCGGGUGUCGCUGAUGGAUGGACCCGCGGUGCAUUAGCUAGUUGGUGAGGUAACGGCUCACCAAGGCCACGAUGCAUAGCCGACCUGAGAGGGUGAUCGGCCACACUGGGACUGAGACACGGCCCAGACUCCUACGGGAGGCAGCAGUAGGGAAUCUUCGGCAAUGGACGAAAGUCUGACCGAGCAACGCCGCGUGAGUGAAGAAGGUGUUCGGAUCGUAAAACUCUGUUGUUAGAGAAGAACAAGGACGUUAGUAACUGAACGUCCCCUGACGGUAUCUAACCAGAAAGCCACGGCUAACUACGUG